GGGGGGUAGGACGAUCAAUUGUUUUUGCUUCUGUUCUUAACGCGUUAUUAAUUCCUAGGGGAGGCUAAGGAUAACAAGCCAAUAAUUAGUAAUAGGCUCUUUUCGCCGAGGGAUCGGGUUAAGGGUAGACUAAGAAAGUUUGCAUGACAAUUAGAUAACAAAGCAAAUUAAAUAAGAGGAGUAGAUAAGAGAGAGCGGAUAAGAUGAAAUUGUAAACCCCCAACAACUUCAUUCAUCCAUAGUCUUUUUCUCGUCAAUUGAAUCAACUGCAUUUGCAUGUUUAUUUUGUGUUUUUGCAUUCCCACCAAUUAAUUUUCUUUACAAGUCUUACGAUUUCAAUUUGCACGAACAAUAUGGCAUUCGAGUCUCUUCGGAAGAACGAUAUUGAGUUUUACCAAUUAUAUUACUUGAAACGAUUUGGUACACUUGCCAGAGAGUCAACAAGUUUUUGGCGCCGUUGCUAGGGACUCGAGGUUUAACUUGUUCGAGUAGUGUAAAUUGAUUGAAUUUGACUUGAUUUUAUGUUUGUUCU
RNAcentral lists this long non-coding RNA (532 nucleotides) under Vigna radiata. Its description in RNAcentral is "long non-coding RNA (VRAD_LNC013413)". Lineage: Eukaryota; Viridiplantae; Streptophyta; Magnoliopsida; Fabales; Fabaceae. The record is from RNAcentral.